GCGGAGCCGUAGCGAAAGCGAGUUUUAACUGAGCGUUCAGUUACUUGACGUAGACCCGAAACCGGGCGACCUACCCAUGAGCAGGAUGAAGCGAAAGUAAAAUUUCGUGGAGGUCCGAACCCACGAGCGUUGAAAAGCUCGGGGAUGACUUGUGGGUAGCGGUGAAAUUCCAAUCGAGCCCGGAGAUAGCUGGUUCUCCCCGAAAUAGCUUUAGGGCUAGCCUCAAGGUGAGAGAUACGGAGGUAGAGCACUGAAUGUCCUAGGGGGUAUUGCACCUACCGAAGACUAUCAAACUCCGAAUGCCGUCAUCUUAUACUUGGGAGUCAGACUGUGGGUGAUAAGAUUCAUAGUCGAAAGGGCAACAGCCCAGAUCGUCAGCUAAGGUCCCUAAAUGUAAGUUAAGUGGUAAAGGAUGUGGGAUUGCACAGACAACCAGGAUGUUGGCUUAGAAGCAGCCACUCAUUCAAAGAGUGCGUAAUAGCUCACUGGUCGAGUGAUCCUGCGCCGAAGAUUUCCGGGGCUAAAACUUACUACCGAAGCUACGGCAUCAGUAAUGAUGGGUAGGGGAGCUUCCCAUACGGGUUGAAGCAUGACCGUAAGGACAUGUGGACAGUAUGGGAGUGAGAAUGUUGGCAUGAGUAGCGAGAUGUGGGUGAGAAUCCCACAGGCCGUAAACCCAAGGUUUCCAGGGGAAGGUUCGUCCGCCCUGGGUUAGUCGGGACCUAAGCUGAGGCCGAAAGGCGUAGGUGAUGGACAACAGGUUGAUAUUCCUGUACUACCGAUAACCGUUUGAGAGAAGGGAUGACACAGUAGGAUAAGCUAAGCACACUGUUGGUUAUGUGUGCCCAAGCAUUGAGGCAGUCAAAGUAGGCAAAUCCGCUUUGAUAAUGCUGGGAUGUGAUGGGGAGCGAAAUUUAGUAGCGAAGUAGCUGAUUUCACACUGUCAAGA
RNAcentral lists this ribosomal RNA (949 nucleotides) under Clostridioides difficile. RNAcentral describes it as "partial 23S ribosomal RNA". It matches the Rfam family "Bacterial large subunit ribosomal RNA", at positions 660 to 1613 of the family's 2925-position model. The record is from RNAcentral. Lineage: Bacteria; Bacillati; Bacillota; Clostridia; Peptostreptococcales; Peptostreptococcaceae.